Molecule: ribosomal RNA, 600 nt
Filed under: uncultured bacterium
Lineage: Bacteria
Description: bacterial SSU rRNA
Rfam family: Bacterial small subunit ribosomal RNA
Source: RNAcentral
GGAAAAACUUACGUACCCUUGACAUGUCCUGGAAUUCCGCAGAGAUGUGGAAGUGCUCGAAAGUGUACCAGAACUCAGUGCUGCAAGGCGGUCGUCAGCUUGUGUCGUGAGAUGUUGAGUUAAGUCCCGCAACGAGCGCAACCCUUGUCAUUAGUUGCUACGAAAGGGCACUAUCAUGAGACUGCCGGUGACAAACCGGAGGAAGGUGGGGAUGACGUCAAGUCCUCAUGGCCAUCAUGGGUAGGGCUUCACACGUCAUACAAUGGUCGGUACAGAGGGUUGCCAAGCCGCGAGGUGGAGCCAAUCCCAGAAAGCCGAUCGUAGUCCGGAUCGCAGUCUGCAACUCGACUGCGUGAAGUCGGAAUCGCUAGUAAUCGCGGAUCAGCAUGUCGCGGUGAAUACGUUCCCGGGUCUUGUACACACCGCCCGUCACACCAUGGGAGCGGGUUCCGCCAGAAGUAGGUAGCCUAACCGCAAGGAGGGCGCUUACCACGGCGGGGUUCGUGACUGGGGUGAAGUCGUAACAAGGUAGCCGUAGGGGAACCUGCGGCUGGAACACCUCCUUCUAGACUGCAGAAAAUCCCGCGGCCCUUUCAGAGG